AAUGAACGUUGGCGGCGUGGAUUAGGCAUGCAAGUCGCGCGUGUACCCGCAAGGGGAAAGCGGCGUAAGGGACAGUAAUGUGUAGGUAUCUACCCUGGGGUCGGGAAUAGCCACGGGAAACUGUGGGUAAUGCCCGAUAACAUCUCCGGAUCAAAGGUGUGAUUCCGCCCUGGGAUGAGCCUGCAUCCUAUUAGCUAGUUGGUGAGGUAACGGCUCACCAAGGCGACGAUCGGAGGUGGUCUGAGAGGACGAUCACCCAGACUGGGACUGAGACACGGCCCAGACUCCUACGGGAGGCAGCAGUCGGGAAUUUUGCUCAAUGGGCGCAAGCCUGAAGCAGCAACGCCGCGUGGAGGAUGAAGUCUUCGGAUUGUAAACUCCUGUUGACCGGGACGAAUGGCUCCCAGUGGAAUAUGCUGGGGAAUGACGGUACCGGUUGAGGAAGCCACGGCUAACUCUGUGCCAGCCGCCGCUGUAAC
This 479-nucleotide ribosomal RNA is filed under the name uncultured bacterium. Its description in RNAcentral is "bacterial SSU rRNA". It matches the Rfam family "Bacterial small subunit ribosomal RNA", at positions 29 to 524 of the family's 1533-position model. The record is from RNAcentral.